RNAcentral lists this transfer RNA (69 nucleotides) under Epinephelus bleekeri (duskytail grouper). RNAcentral's name for it is "tRNA-Met". The record is from RNAcentral. Lineage: Eukaryota; Metazoa; Chordata; Actinopteri; Perciformes; Serranidae. RNAcentral also lists the same sequence under 1 other name.
AGUAAAGUCAGCUAACCAAGCUUUUGGGCCCAUACCCCAAGCAUGUAGGUUAAACCCCUACCUUUACUA